Molecule: long non-coding RNA, 394 nt
Organism: Ricinus communis (castor bean)
Lineage: Eukaryota; Viridiplantae; Streptophyta; Magnoliopsida; Malpighiales; Euphorbiaceae
Exons: 2
Source: RefSeq, a predicted model, not a curated record
UGUCACAUCUUUCAAUAUGUAAAUAUUAAGGAAACAGACAUAAAAAUAAAAAAGAAAAAAGGGAAGAAAGAAAAUGCAAUACCAAUAUAUUCAGGGUUGUCAACAUUGCAGCAAAUUAUAGCAGGAUUACAUCGUUCUUCAUGACAAUUUAGUCUCACUCCUUCCAUGCCUUCUUUCAUGCAAGAAACUUACUGAUUUGACGUGGAAAUCCAACAGGAGUUAAAUAGAUGGAGGAAGUGAUUUAUAGGGGAAUCCUAAAUUUUGACCUGAGAGUCAAUUAAUAAGAAAAUAAUAAUUUUUCAACAACUAUAAGCAAGUAAUUAUGUUUUCAAUUCUAAUUGUUGUAGAAGGUGAAUUUUUCAGAUACUAAUGUAAUUGUUUAGCAAUUCUUUUA